GAUGAACGCUGGCGGCGUGCCUAAUACAUGCAAGUCGAGCGAACAGACGAGGAGCUUGCUUCUCUGACGUUAGCGGCGGACGGGUGAGUAACACGUGGAUAACCUACCUAUAAGACUGGGAUAACUUCGGGAAACCAGAGCUAAUACCGGAUAAUAUAUUGAACCGCAUGGUUCAAUAGUGAAAGACGGUUUUGCUGUCACUUAUAGAUGGAUCCGCGCCGCAUUAGCUAGUUGGUAAGGUAACGGCUUACCAAGGCAACGAUGCGUAGCCGACCUGAGAGGGUGAUCGGCCACACUGGAACUGAGACACGGUCCAGACUCCCACGGGAGGCAGCAGUAGGGAAUCUUCCGCAAUGGGCGAAAGCCUGACGGAGCAACGCCGCGUGAGUGAUGAAGGUCUUCGGAUCGUAAAACUCUGUUAUUAGGGAAGAACAAAUGUGUAAGUAACUAUGCACGUCUUGACGGUACCUAAUCAGAAAGCCACGGCUAACUACGUG
This 497-nucleotide ribosomal RNA is filed under the name uncultured bacterium. RNAcentral describes it as "partial 16S ribosomal RNA". It matches the Rfam family "Bacterial small subunit ribosomal RNA", at positions 28 to 507 of the family's 1533-position model. The record is from RNAcentral.